RNAcentral lists this ribosomal RNA (253 nucleotides) under uncultured bacterium. RNAcentral's name for it is "partial 16S ribosomal RNA". It matches the Rfam family "Bacterial small subunit ribosomal RNA", at positions 524 to 776 of the family's 1533-position model. The record is from RNAcentral.
UACGUAGGGCGCGAGCGUUGUCCGGAAUUAUUGGGCGUAAAGAGCUCGUAGGCGGCCUGUUGCGUCCGCUGUGAAAUCCCGGGGCUUAACCCCGGGCGUGCAGUGGAUACGGGCGGGCUGGAGGCAGGCAGGGGAGACUGGAAUUCCUGGUGUAGCGGUGAAAUGCGCAGAUAUCAGGAGGAACACCGGUGGCGAAGGCGGGUCUCUGGGCCGAUACUGACGCUGAGGAGCGAAAGCGUGGGGAGCAAACAGG